AGCUCUUCGUGCGGUUAAGACGUGUUGUAACGGAAUAUACGAAAACCUAAACGUUUUAUUAAUGGUUUAAUUAAAAAAAAAAUAUAUAAUAAUAACCGUCUUUACAGUUUAUGGUCUUAAAUAGAUUUCCAGUUGAAACUGCAGCAAACUGAAACAACAACAAAAAGUUAUAGUAAAACAAAUACAGAAAAAUAUUAUAAAGUUUGUGAAAGGAAAUUGUGCUGAAGAAAUCAUAUUAUCAACAAGAAAAUUAUAAAAUAUACUAUUAAAAAUCUAAAGUGAAAAGAAAAUAAGCAACAAAGUGUUA
Molecule: long non-coding RNA, 307 nt
Organism: Lucilia sericata (common green bottle fly)
Lineage: Eukaryota; Metazoa; Arthropoda; Insecta; Diptera; Calliphoridae
Exons: 2
Source: RefSeq, a predicted model, not a curated record